This 754-nucleotide ribosomal RNA is filed under the name uncultured bacterium. RNAcentral's name for it is "bacterial SSU rRNA". It matches the Rfam family "Bacterial small subunit ribosomal RNA", at positions 8 to 796 of the family's 1533-position model. The record is from RNAcentral.
AGAGUUUGAUCCUGGCUCAGGACGAACGCUGGCGGCGUGCCUAAUACAUGCAAGUCGAGCGGUAAGGCCCCUUCGGGGGUACACGAGCGGCGGACGGCUGAGUAACGCGUAGGAACAUACCCCAAAGUGAGGGAUAACUGCUCGAAAGAGUAGCUAAUACCGCAUGUGCUCUAAGGAGUAAAGCUUUAUGCGCUUUGGGAAUGGCCUGCGUAAGAUUAGCUUGUUGGUGAGGUAAUGGCUCACCAAGGCGACGAUCUUUAGCUGGUCUGAGAGGAUGAUCAGCCAGACUGGGACUGAGACACGGCCCAGACUCCUACGGGAGGCAGCAGUAGGGAAUUUUCCACAAUGGGCGAAAGCCUGAUGGAGCAACGCCGCGUGCAGGAUGAAGGCUCUCGGGUCGUAAACUGCUUUUAUAUGUGAAGAUUACGACGGUAGCAUAUGAAUAAGGAUCGGCUAACUCCGUGCCAGCAGCCGCGGUCAUACGGAGGAUCCAAGCGUUAUCCGGAAUUACUGGGCGUAAAGAGUUGCGUAGGCGGCAUAAUAAGUAGGGCGUGAAAGCGUGUGGCUCAACCAUAUACACAUGUCCUAAACUGUUAAGCUAGAAUAUAGAAGAGGUAGCUGGAAUUCCUUGUGUAGGAGUGAAAUCCGCAGAUAUUGGGAGGAACACCGAUGGCGUAGGCAGAUAACUGGCUCAUUCCUGACACUAAGGCACGAAAGCGUGGGGAGCAAACGGGAUUAGAUACCCUGGUAGUCC